AAGAGCUCUCAAACAACACGCCGAUGAGGAAAAGUUAUGCUAAAAAUUGUUUUGUUCGGGUAUAAAAACUAUGACUUGGUCAACAAAAAACGAAUUGCCUUAUGAAAAGCAUGCGGUUCGUUCGAAGAUUACAGACAGAGACGCAACAAGUUCCAACUUCGUUCGACAUUUGAAGUUGCACAAAGAGGGGGAGAUGUGGCCAUUGCGCCUGCAGGAGCAAAUGUGACCGCCUCUGUCUAUUGUGCUGAGGACGAGCACCAUCGGAUAGGGGCGGGGCAUGGACUGAUGUAAGCAGCCGGGAGCAGGAGGGCAGAAAGGACACGGAUGUGACUGAAAUGUCACGUUCUGCGGGAGAAAGAGUUGGGUAAAAUCUAU
Long non-coding RNA from Nerophis ophidion (straightnose pipefish), 375 nucleotides. RefSeq lists it as uncharacterized. The record is from RefSeq and is a predicted model, not a curated record. Lineage: Eukaryota; Metazoa; Chordata; Actinopteri; Syngnathiformes; Syngnathidae. The transcript is spliced from 3 exons.